UACGGAGGGGGCUAGCGUUGUUCGGAAUUACUGGGCGUAAAGCGCGCGUAGGCGGCUUUGUAAGUUAGAGGUGAAAGCCCGGAGCUCAACUCCGGAAUUGCCUUUAAGACUGCAUCGCUAGAAUCAUGGAGAGGUGAGUGGAAUUCCGAGUGUAGAGGUGAAAUGCGUAGAGAUCGGGAGGAAUACCCGUGGCGAAGGCGGCCGACUGGGCCGGAUCCGACGCUGAUGCGCGAAAGCGUGGGGAGCAAACAGG
Molecule: ribosomal RNA, 253 nt
Filed under: uncultured bacterium
Lineage: Bacteria
Description: partial 16S ribosomal RNA
Rfam family: Bacterial small subunit ribosomal RNA
Source: RNAcentral